Molecule: ribosomal RNA, 492 nt
Filed under: uncultured bacterium
Lineage: Bacteria
Description: partial 16S ribosomal RNA
Rfam family: Bacterial small subunit ribosomal RNA
Source: RNAcentral
AGUGAACGCUGGCGGUAGGCCUAACACAUGCAAGUCGAACGGCAGCACAGUAAGAGCUUGCUCUUACGGGUGGCGAGUGGCGGACGGGUGAGGAAUACAUCGGAAUCUACUUUUUCGUGGGGGAUAACGUAGGGAAACUUACGCUAAUACCGCAUACGACCUACGGGUGAAAGCAGUGGAUCUUCGGACCUUGCGCGAUUGAAUGAGCCGAUGUCGGAUUAGCUAGUUGGCGGGGUAAAGGCCCACCAAGGCGACGAUCCGUAGCUGGUCUGAGAGGAUGAUCAGCCACACUGGAACUGAGACACGGUCCAGGGUCCUGCGGGAGGCAGCAGUGGGGAAUAUUGGACAAUGGGCGCAAGCCUGAUCCAGCCAUACCGCGUGGGUGAAGAAGGCCUUCGGGUUGUAAAGCCCUUUUGUUGGGAAAGAAAAGCAGCAGGUUAAUACCCCGCUGUUCUGACGGUACCCAAAGAAUAAGCACCGGCUAACUUCGUG